GAAGUAUUAAUUUUAAAAUAAAAGCUGCUAACUUAUUAUUAUAACGGUUAAAUUCCGUUUAUACUUCU
This 68-nucleotide transfer RNA is filed under the name Allacta hainanensis. RNAcentral describes it as "tRNA-Ser". Lineage: Eukaryota; Metazoa; Arthropoda; Insecta; Blattodea; Pseudophyllodromiidae. The record is from RNAcentral.